UGGGGAAUAUUGCACAAUGGGCGCAAGCCUGAUGGAGCCAUGCCGCGUGUGUGAAGAAGGCCUUCGGGUUGUAAAGCACUUUUAGCGGGGAGGAAGGCGAAAAGGAUAAUAACCUCGUCGACUGACGUUACCCGCAGAAGAAGCACCGGCUAACUCCGUGCCAGCAGCCGCGGUAAUACGGAGGGUGCAAGCGUUAAUCGGAAUUACUGGGCGUAAAGCGCACGCAGGCGGUCUGUUAAGUCUGAUGUGAAAUCCCCGGGCUCAACCUGGGAACUGCAUUCGAAACUGGCAGGCUUGAGUCUAGUAGAGGGGGGUAGAAUUCCAGGUGUAGCGGUGAAAUGCGUAGAUAUCUGGAGGAAUACCGGUGGCGAAGGCGGCCCCCUGGUCAUAAACUGACGCUCAGGUGCGAAAGCGUGGGGAGCAAACAGG
RNAcentral lists this ribosomal RNA (429 nucleotides) under Chloroflexota bacterium. RNAcentral's name for it is "Chloroflexi bacterium partial 16S ribosomal RNA". It matches the Rfam family "Bacterial small subunit ribosomal RNA", at positions 355 to 776 of the family's 1533-position model. Lineage: Bacteria; Bacillati; Chloroflexota. The record is from RNAcentral.